AAAUUGAAGAGUUUGAUCAUGGCUCAGAUUGAACGCUGGCGGCAGGCCUAACACAUGCAAGUCGAGCGGUAGCACAGAGAGCUUGCUCUCGGGUGACGAGCGGCGGACGGGUGAGUAAUGUCUGGGAAACUGCCUGAUGGAGGGGGAUAACUACUGGAAACGGUAGCUAAUACCGCAUAAUGUCGCAAGACCAAAGUGGGGGACCUUCGGGCCUCAUGCCAUCAGAUGUGCCCAGAUGGGAUUAGCUAGUAGGUGGGGUAACGGCUCACCUAGGCGACGAUCCCUAGCUGGUCUGAGAGGAUGACCAGCCACACUGGAACUGAGACACGGUCCAGACUCCUACGGGAGGCAGCAGUGGGGAAUAUUGCACAAUGGGCGCAAGCCUGAUGCAGCCAUGCCGCGUGUGUGAAGAAGGCCUUCGGGUUGUAAAGCACUUUCAGCGGGGAGGAAGGCGGUAAGGUUAAUAACCUCAUCGAUUGACGUUACCCGCAGAAGAAGCACCGGCUAACUCCGUGCCAGCAGCCGCGGUAAUACGGAGGGUGCAAGCGUUAAUCGGAAUUACUGGGCGUAAAGCGCACGCAGGCGGUCUGUCAAGUCGGAUGUGAAAUCCCCGGGCUCAACCUGGGAACUGCAUUCGAAACUGGCAGGCUAGAGUCUUGUAGAGGGGGGUAGAAUUCCAGGUGUAGCGGUGAAAUGCGUAGAGAUCUGGAGGAAUACCGGUGGCGAAGGCGGCCCCCUGGACAAAGACUGACGCUCAGGUGCGAAAGCGUGGGGAGCAAACAGGAUUAGAUACCCUGGUAGUCCACGCCGUAAACGAUGUCGAUUUGGAGGUUGUGCCCUUGAGGCGUGGCUUCCGGAGCUAACGCGUUAAAUCGACCGCCUGGGGAGUACGGCCGCAAGGUUAAAACUCAAAUGAAUUGACGGGGGCCCGCACAAGCGGUGGAGCAUGUGGUUUAAUUCGAUGCAACGCGAAGAACCUUACCUGGUCUUGACAUCCACAGAACUUAGCAGAGAUGCUUUGGUGCCUUCGGGAACUGUGAGACAGGUGCUGCAUGGCUGUCGUCAGCUCGUGUUGUGAAAUGUUGGGUUAAGUCCCGCAACGAGCGCAACCCUUAUCCUUUGUUGCCAGCGGUUCGGCCGGGAACUCAAAGGAGACUGCCAGUGAUAAACUGGAGGAAGGUGGGGAUGACGUCAAGUCAUCAUGGCCCUUACGACCAGGGCUACACACGUGCUACAAUGGCAUAUACAAAGAGAAGCGACCUCGCGAGAGCAAGCGGACCUCAUAAAGUAUGUCGUAGUCCGGAUUGGAGUCUGCAACUCGACUCCAUGAAGUCGGAAUCGCUAGUAAUCGUAGAUCAGAAUGCUACGGUGAAUACGUUCCCGGGCCUUGUACACACCGCCCGUCACACCAUGGGAGUGGGUUGCAAAAGAAGUAGGUAGCUUAACCUUCGGGAGGGCGCUUACCACUUUGUGAUUCAUGACUGGGGUGAAGUCGUAACAAGGUAACCGUAGGGGAACCUGCGGUUGGAUCACCUCCUUA
RNAcentral lists this ribosomal RNA (1540 nucleotides) under Klebsiella pneumoniae. RNAcentral's name for it is "bacterial SSU rRNA". It matches the Rfam family "Bacterial small subunit ribosomal RNA". The record is from RNAcentral. Lineage: Bacteria; Pseudomonadati; Pseudomonadota; Gammaproteobacteria; Enterobacterales; Enterobacteriaceae.